This 468-nucleotide ribosomal RNA is filed under the name uncultured bacterium. RNAcentral describes it as "partial 16S ribosomal RNA". It matches the Rfam family "Bacterial small subunit ribosomal RNA", at positions 28 to 507 of the family's 1533-position model. The record is from RNAcentral.
GACGAACGCUGGCGGCGUGCUUAACACAUGCAAGUCGAACGGAAAGGCCCUGCUUUUGUGGGGUGCUCGAGUGGCGAACGGGUGAGUAACACGUGAGUAACCUGCCCUUGACUUUGGGAUAACUUCAGGAAACUGGGGCUAAUACCGGAUAGGAGCUCCCGCUGCAUGGUGGGGGUUGGAAAGUUUCGGCGGUUGGGGAUGGACUCGCGGCUUAUCAGCUUGUUGGUGGGGUAGUGGCUUACCAAGGCCUUGACGGGUAGCCGGCCUGAGAGGGUGACCGGCCACAUUGGGACUGAGAUACGGCCCAGACUCCUACGGGAGGCAGCAGUGGGGAAUAUUGCACAAUGGGCGGAAGCCUGAUGCAGCAACGCCGCGUGCGGGAUGACGGCCUUCGGGUUGUAAACCGCUUUCGCCUGUGACGAAGCGUGAGUGACGGUAAUGGGUAAAGAAGCACCGGCUAACUACGUG